This 253-nucleotide ribosomal RNA is filed under the name uncultured bacterium. RNAcentral's name for it is "partial 16S ribosomal RNA". It matches the Rfam family "Bacterial small subunit ribosomal RNA", at positions 524 to 776 of the family's 1533-position model. The record is from RNAcentral.
UACGGAGGGGGCUAGCGUUGUUCGGAAUUACUGGGCGUAAAGCGCGCGUAGGCGGCUUUGUAAGUUAGAGGUGAAAGCCCAGGGCUCAACCCUGGAAUUGCCUUUAAGACUGCAUCGCUUGAAUCAUGGAGAGGUGAGUGGAAUUCCGAGUGUAGAGGUGAAAUUCGUAGAUAUUCGGAAGAACACCAGUGGCGAAGGCGACUCACUGGACAUGUAUUGACGCUGAGGUGCGAAAGCGUGGGGAGCAAACAGG